RNAcentral lists this transfer RNA (77 nucleotides) under Bryobacteraceae bacterium. RNAcentral describes it as "tRNA-Pro". It matches the Rfam family "tRNA". Rfam says of the family: Transfer RNA (tRNA) molecules are approximately 80 nucleotides in length. Their secondary structure includes four short double-helical elements and three loops (D, anti-codon, and T loops). Further hydrogen bonds mediate the characteristic L-shaped molecular structure. tRNAs have two regions of fundamental functional importance: the anti-codon, which is responsible for specific mRNA codon recognition, and the 3' end, to which the tRNAs corresponding amino acid is attached (by aminoacyl-tRNA synthetases). tRNAs cope with the degeneracy of the genetic code in two manners: having more than one tRNA (with a specific anti-codon) for a particular amino acid; and 'wobble' base-pairing, i.e. permitting non-standard base-pairing at the 3rd anti-codon position. Lineage: Bacteria; Pseudomonadati; Acidobacteriota; Terriglobia; Bryobacterales; Bryobacteraceae. The record is from RNAcentral. RNAcentral also lists the same sequence under 1 other name.
CGGGGCGUGGCUCAGCUUGGUAGAGCGCCUGGUUCGGGACCAGGAGGCCGGAGGUUCGAAUCCUCUCGCCCCGACCA